GUUGGGUAGGGGAGCGUUCUGUAAGCCUGUGAAGGUGUGUCGUGAGGCAUGCUGGAGGUAUCAGAAGUGCGAAUGCUGACAUAAGUAACGAUAAAGCGGGUGAAAAGCCCGCUCGCCGGAAGACCAAGGGUUCCUGUCCAACGUUAAUCGGGGCAGGGUGAGUCGACCCCUAAGGCGAGGCCGAAAGGCGUAGUCGAUGGGAAACGGGUUAAUAUUCCCGUACUUGGUGUUACUGCGAAGGGGGGACGGAGAAGGCUAUGUUGGCCGGGCGACGGUUGUCCCGGUUUAAGCGUGUAGGUGUGUGUUCCAGGUAAAUCCGGUUCACUUUAACACUGAGGCGUGACGACGAGGCACUACGGUGCUGAAGCAACAAAUGCCCUGCUUCCAGGAAAAGCCUCUAAGCAUCAGGUAACAUCAAAUCGUACCCCAAACCGACACAGGUGGUCAGGUAGAGAAUACCAAGGCGCUUGAGAGAACUCGGGUGAAGGAACUAGGCAAAAUGGUGCCGUAACUUCGGGAGAAGGCACGCUGACACGUAGGUGAAGUGAUUUACUCAUGGAGCUGAAGUCAGUCGAAGAUACCAGCUGGCUGCAACUGUUUAUUAAAAACACAGCACUGUGCAAACACGAAAGUGGACGUAUACGGUGUGACGCCUGCCCGGUGCCGGAAGGUUAAUUGAUGGGGUCAGCGCAAGCGAAGCUCCUGAUCGAAGCCCCGGUAAACGGCGGCCGUAACUAUAACGGUCCUAAGGUAGCGAAAUUCCUUGUCGGGUAAGUUCCGACCUGCACGAAUGGCGUAAUGAUGGCCAGGCUGUCUCCACCCGAGACUCAGUGAAAUUGAACUCGCUGUGAAGAUGCAGUGUACCCGCGGCAAGACGGAAAGACCCCGUGAACCUUUACUAUAGCUUGACACUGAACAUUGAGCCUUGAUGUGUAGGAUAGGUGGGAGGCUUUGAAGCGUGGACGCCAGUCUGCGUGGAGCCGACCUUGAAAUACCACCCUUUAAUGUUUGAUGUUCUAACGUGGACCCGUAAUCCGGGUUGCGGACAGUGUCUGGUGGGUAGUUUGACUGGGGCGGUCUCCUCCUAAAGAGUAACGGAGGAGCACGAAGGUUGGCUAAUCCUGGUCGGACAUCAGGAGGUUAGUGCAAUGGCAUAAGCCAGCUUGACUGCGAGCGUGACGGCGCGAGCAGGUGCGAAAGCAGGUCAUAGUGAUCCGGUGGUUCUGAAUGGAAGGGCCAUCGCUCAACGGAUAAAAGGUACUCCGGGGAUAACAGGCUGAUACCGCCCAAGAGUUCAUAUCGACGGCGGUGUUUGGCACCUCGAUGUCGGCUCAUCACAUCCUGGGGCUGAAGUAGGUCCCAAGGGUAUGGCUGUUCGCCAUUUAAAGUGGUACGCGAGCUGGGUUUAGAACGUCGUGAGACAGUUCGGUCCCUAUCUGCCGUGGGCGCUGGAGAACUGAGGGGGGCUGCUCCUAGUACGAGAGGACCGGAGUGGACGCAUCACUGGUGUUCGGGUUGUCAUGCCAAUGGCACUGCCCGGUAGCUAAAUGCGGAAGAGAUAAGUGCUGAAAGCAUCUAAGCACGAAACUUGCCCCGAGAUGAGUUCUCCCUGAGACUUAGAGUCUCCUGAAGGAACGUUGAAGACGACGACGUUGAUAGGCCGGGUGUGUAAGCGCAGCGAUGCGUUGAGCUAACCGGUACUAAUGAACCGUGAGGCUUAACCUU
Molecule: ribosomal RNA, 1725 nt
Filed under: Salmonella enterica
Lineage: Bacteria; Pseudomonadati; Pseudomonadota; Gammaproteobacteria; Enterobacterales; Enterobacteriaceae
Also listed under: 2 other names
Description: partial 23S ribosomal RNA
Rfam family: Bacterial large subunit ribosomal RNA
Source: RNAcentral